CAACACCUUCAGUACCAUGAUUAUUUUGACCUGAUUCAGUUGAGAGGAAAUUAUCUCCAUUCCAGGGAAGAUCUUAAAAUUUUGAGAAAUCAGAAUGGAGUAGAUGAGAGAGGGAUUUAAAACGAUUGCCAGAAAGAGUCUUACAAACUUCAGUAAAAUCACCAUAAUUAUCCUCAUCAAUCACAGUAGGAGUUUGUAAAUGAGAGUUGAUAAUUUUGGAAAAAAAAAUAGAAUUUCGCACAAAAACUUUUUCCAAAGUUUGGAGAAUUUUUCUUUAAAAAAGAAGUUUGUAAAUUGGCAUAAAAAUUCCUUCACAACAGAAAGAUCAUAAGGACAGGCAACCUCAACUUUGAUCAAGAAAAGCAGUGAUCCUAUGCCUAUCAAACUCAUCAUUUGAAAAUUUUCUUUUCCUCAAUUUGAAUCAGAUUCAAAAUAAAAUAUAGGACUGAAAGCAUUGUUUACC
This 463-nucleotide long non-coding RNA is filed under the name Erythranthe guttata (spotted monkey flower). RNAcentral's name for it is "long non-coding RNA (EGUT_LNC000881)". The record is from RNAcentral. Lineage: Eukaryota; Viridiplantae; Streptophyta; Magnoliopsida; Lamiales; Phrymaceae.